GCCAGGCGUUGUGGCGGGCGCCUGUGGUCCCAGCUACUUGGGAGGCGGAGGCAGGAGACUCGCUUGAGCCCAGGAGUUGGAGGUUGCUGUGAGCUGUAAUGCCACGGCACUCUGCCCAGGGUGACAGCUUGAGGCUCUGUCUCAAAAAAGAGACAGAAUCACGUUCUGUUGCCUGAGCUAGAGUGCAGUGGUGGCAUCAUAGUUCACUGCAACCUCAUACACGCUGGGCUCACGAUUCUCCUGCC
This 245-nucleotide small RNA is filed under the name Otolemur garnettii (small-eared galago). RNAcentral describes it as "Metazoan signal recognition particle RNA (ENSOGAG00000024276.1)". The record is from RNAcentral. Lineage: Eukaryota; Metazoa; Chordata; Mammalia; Primates; Galagidae.